GUGAAUAAAGAGAUGGAGGAGGAGGAGGAGGAGGAGGUGAAUGAGAAAAGAGGAGAGGAGAGAAAGAAAGAAGAGGAAGGAAGUCAAUGUGAAGGAGAUACACGAAGAAAAUGAAAGUAAUUGGAGAAAAAAGAGGAGAGAGAGAGAGAGAAGAUAAGGAAGAAGAAGAAGAAUAUUAUUUUGAUUCUCUGGAGGGAGAAAUGUUAAACAAAAUCCCGGUAACCAAUCACGUCCCUCGCUUCAGGUCACGUGACUAUUACAGCCAAUCAUGUGCCUUACUUCAGGUCACGUGACUCUUCUAGCCAGUAACAGCAUGUCAUCUUACACCAUCACAAUCAAUAAAAUCAAUUGCAUCGCUCGUUCACUAGAUCCUUUGUCUAGUAUAUAAAGGAUGACUUGAAACAUCUAUUUACCAUUUAGUCUAAUUUGAGAUGUGAGUAAAUAUAAGUUUGUUGUGUUUAAACUCGGAAAAUUUGAUUACUAAAAGGGAAUAUGUAUUUAGCGAAUUCAAUUUAGCGCAAUUAGCAUCGAUUAUUUAAGUUGUCUAGAACUUUAAGUCUUUCCUUAUUAAUCUGGUUUAAAGUUAAAAUACUUAUUGUUGUAAUUAGAAUUGUUGUUUUUAACCUUAGAAUUCUUGUCACUGAGAGAGGAUUAAUAUUUAGCAAGUCAGUCAGCUUAGCGCAUUUAGCAAAAAUGCGCUAAUCUGAUUUGAGAUUGAAAAGAGAGAGAGAAAAAAAAAAUAAAACAAAGAUGGAACAGUAGAAGCAAUAACAAGAAGAAGGAGAAGAAAUAAAGAAGAGAAAAACAUGGAUGGAAUCGGAAGGGAAGAAAUAAGAAAGAAAAGAGAAAAAAGCCAAAAGAAAGACAGGAAAAGAGAAAAGGUGAGAAAAAGAAGAAAUGCAUAAAUAAAACAAUGAAUCCCAAAAAGAAAGAAAAAGACAAAAAGAAGAUGAAGACAAGACCAUAUAUGCCAAACACCGCUAUGGACACAAAACUCAAAAGCUGAACGUUGGCAACACUGGCGGCUGCUCUCCCUGGCUCCCACCCCCAGCAUCCCUCUAGUGGGCCCAAUUCAAAACUCGAAGACGCUGGCAGAGGGACAGUGGCAGGCCGGGCGUGUGGCUGGGAGAGUAAUGGCCACCCACUCACCUUCCCUCCGCCACGCCCACGCCCACACCCACAACAAGCCCGCAGCGAAGCCCAGCCACUACUGACUCAUUUGUGACGCACCUGUGGCUAAUUGGGUCCCCUCACCUCUUUACGCGUGGCCGUCACAUGUCAUUAAGGUGCUGAGGUGACCCGAGGCAGUGGCCGGCGACAUGACUCCCUGUGGCCUUGGGGGUGACGGAGGGAAGGACUGGGCUGCAGGAGGUAACCCGAGGCAUGUAGACCUGCCCUUGGGACCACUGCAGCCACUCCCACAUAGGUCUUUUUGACUUUUGAUGUGGGGGAACUUUAAACAUCUGUCAGGAAGGGUUUGCUAGCUGGCAUCUCCCUAACUGGGCCUUUUUGUGUGAGAGGAGGUUCAUCUAUGUUUCCCAAAGAGACACAUACAGACACUCAGUACUUCAUUGUUUUUAAUGUAAGAGGGGCACUGGCCAAGGGCAACAAAAAGAGAAAAAAAAUGCUCUCUAAGGUGUCCAAAAAGAGGUCAAAAAGAAAUCCAAAAGAGGUCAAAAGUAUCAUCCAGAAUUGGAGGAUAAGUGUCUUGAAACCGCCCUCCUGAAAGAAUUUGUCAGAGGAAGGGAGGAAUUUGGACACUAUCUGGGAAAAGUUUAUCUGUAAGGUGUGCCUCAACACACACACCUGCUGGAGGUUUGUGGCGAUGGAGUGUGGGAAAAAGUUUGUCGAGAGGGGUGGUCUCAACAGACCCACACUGACUGGUGGUGGCGGAGGGAGGUGGUGAGAGCAGUGUGGGGGAGGGGUGGGCCAUGAGGGACACUGCAGCAGACUCGUGCCCACCCGUGCAGGAGUGAGGGAUGGCGGUGUGGGGACUGGGCAAGGAAUUACCCUGAGAAUGACCUGAAAGACUCGGUUUGGUCUGUGUCAAGGUCACAUUUCAGGGUAAACCUUUUGCCACACUCCUGACACUCAAAGUCUCUUACACCAGUGUGCGGGUGAGCAUGAGGAUGUUAACAGCACCUUGUGGGCUGAUCUCUUCCCACACUCUAGACAUUCACAGUCGCUCCGCCAGCAAGGUGAGUGUGGGUCCGCUGAGGCCACCCUUACACAAGAGUCCUGUGCUGCACUCACUGCGGCUCCCCCAGUGUGGCUCAGGAUGUGUGUGCCGAAAACAGUUUUUAGAGUGGCCUUUUUAGGGGAAAAGGUUUGCCCCAAAAGGUGAUCUUGCCAUACACAGGCUGGCCCUGGCUGGCAUGUUGGUGGUGGUGCAGUGACAGGGGCGUGGCAGAGGGUGUUGUCAUGACAGACGCAGCCUCACUCAUGCUGGUGCGAGAGACUGUGAUGUCUAGAGUGUGGGAAGAGAUAAGCCCACAAGGUGCUGUCAACAAGCUCAUGCUCACCCGCACUGCUGUAAGAGACUUUGAGUGUCGGGAGUGUGGCAAAAGAUUUACCCAGAAGGGUCCUCUUCGCCACACCCCCCCUCUCCUGUCCUGACACACCACCGGGGACAAGUGGUGGCCUGUGGCAUAGCAUUAUGCGGCCUGGCUCAUGAACUGUGGUGGGUGACUGGAAGACACUCAGUAAUCAGGCUGUUGUGGUGAGUCAAUAGGGAACUUUGAAAUAUUAGACAAAUUUAUGAAUGACAGGCAGAAACAGACAGGCAAUGUUUUGUACAGGGACUGCCACGUGUAGGCCUGAUGGCUCCCCGCACCAACCCUUGUGUUCUUGUCCGUUAUGAAACUGUUCCCUCAGCAGCUGUCACAGGAGUCUUGGCAAACACCUCGUGACCUCAGUAUUGCAUCAGGCCAGUACUUAUCACCAGUAUUCUGAGAACCUGAGUUUUGUAUCUUAUCUUUAUUCCUGGCAGUUUGCAUUGUACCUUCAGGCAUCCAGGUGCUAUUAAGGUGUGUCAUAGCCAAAUCUGACAAUAAAAUGAUGAAUGCA
Scylla paramamosain (green mud crab) is the source of this 3066-nucleotide long non-coding RNA. RefSeq lists it as uncharacterized. The record is from RefSeq and is a predicted model, not a curated record. The transcript is spliced from 2 exons. NCBI's taxonomy places the organism in Eukaryota, Metazoa, Arthropoda, Malacostraca, Decapoda, Portunidae.